RNAcentral lists this ribosomal RNA (253 nucleotides) under uncultured bacterium. Its description in RNAcentral is "partial 16S ribosomal RNA". It matches the Rfam family "Bacterial small subunit ribosomal RNA", at positions 524 to 776 of the family's 1533-position model. The record is from RNAcentral.
GACAGAGGGUGCAAACGUUGUUCGGAAUUACUGGGCGUAAAGCGCGUGUAGGCGGUCGUGCAAGUCGGGUGUGAAAGCCCUCGGCUCAACCGGGGAAGUGCACUCGAAACUGCAUGACUAGAGUCUCGGAGAGGAUAGUGGAAUUCUCGGUGUAGAGGUGAAAUGCGUAGAUAUCGGGAGGAACACCAGUGGCGAAGGCGGCUUCCUGGCCUGUUCUUGACGCUGAGGCGCGAAAGCUAGGGGAGCAAACGGG